This is a long non-coding RNA of Dermochelys coriacea (leatherback sea turtle), 165 nucleotides long. RefSeq lists it as uncharacterized. The record is from RefSeq and is a predicted model, not a curated record. Lineage: Eukaryota; Metazoa; Chordata; Testudines; Dermochelyidae. The transcript has 3 exons.
CCUCGCUCUUCUCUUCUGUAGACUAAAUAACCCGAGUUCCCUCGGCCUCUCCUCGCAAGUCAUGUGCCCCAGCCCCCUAAUCAUUUUCGUUGCCCUCUGCUGGACUCUCUCCAAUUUGUCCAUAUCCCUUCCGUAGUGGGGGGACCAAAACUGGACAGAAUGUUC